This 114-nucleotide ribosomal RNA is filed under the name Acanthosepion pharaonis. The record is from RNAcentral. Lineage: Eukaryota; Metazoa; Mollusca; Cephalopoda; Sepiida; Sepiidae.
UUACAGCCAUAUCAGGUUGAAACACUGGUUCUUGUAUGAUCACAGAAGUUAAGCAAAGUUGAGUCUGGCUAGUACCUAGAUGGGUGACCACUUGGAAAUACCAAGUGCUGUAAG